RNAcentral lists this ribosomal RNA (377 nucleotides) under uncultured bacterium. Its description in RNAcentral is "bacterial SSU rRNA". It matches the Rfam family "Bacterial small subunit ribosomal RNA", at positions 30 to 414 of the family's 1533-position model. The record is from RNAcentral.
CCUGAACGCUGGCGGCGUGGCUAAGACAUGCAAGUCGCACGGAGGUAGCAAUACCUUAGUGGCGAACGGGUGAGUAAUGAAUCGCUAAUGUGCCCCGGACUCUGGGAUAGCUGCCCGGAAAGGGCAGGUAAUACCAGAUGAUAUAACCGAACCGCAUGGUUUGGUUCUCAAAGGUCCGCCGGUCUGGGAGCAGGCGAUUUCGUAUCAGCUAGUUGGUGAGGUAACGCNCACCAAGGCGACGACGCGUAGCCGGACUGAGAGGUUGGCCGGCACAUUGGGACUGAGACACUGCCCAGACUCCGUACGGGGGGCUGCAGUAACGAAUCUUCCGCAAUGCACGAAAGUGUGACGGAGCGACGCCGCGUGUAGGACGAACG